GCUGGCGUAGCUCAGUCGGUAGAGCAGCGGAUUUGUAAUCCGCCGGUCGCAGGUUCGAAUCCUGUCGCCAGCUCCA
RNAcentral lists this transfer RNA (76 nucleotides) under Burkholderiales bacterium. Its description in RNAcentral is "tRNA-Thr". It matches the Rfam family "tRNA". From Rfam's summary of the family: Transfer RNA (tRNA) molecules are approximately 80 nucleotides in length. Their secondary structure includes four short double-helical elements and three loops (D, anti-codon, and T loops). RNAcentral also lists the same sequence under 4 other names. Lineage: Bacteria; Pseudomonadati; Pseudomonadota; Betaproteobacteria; Burkholderiales. The record is from RNAcentral.